Molecule: non-coding RNA, 1314 nt
Organism: Oncorhynchus mykiss (rainbow trout)
Lineage: Eukaryota; Metazoa; Chordata; Actinopteri; Salmoniformes; Salmonidae
Source: RefSeq, a predicted model, not a curated record
UUCUGAGCAAUGUUUCAUUUCCUCUUGCAACAUAACUAGCUGCAGCUUUAACUCAGUCAUGACACAAAUGGAAACUAGGCACCACCGCACAGAGUUGUCAAUGUUAUGAAACAAGAACAUAUGUUUGGCAUGAGUUAAAUAGUGCAGUGAGUAAUAAUGCAGUCAUUUACAUAUCCCAUAAGUGUCUUCCUAUUUUAUCUAUCAUUGAAGGAGGACACUCCUUCAAGCGAAACAGGUUUUAGUUGGAAGAACACUUUUUCAAAAGCUCCCAGACAUAGCAUAUACAGCCUUAUUUGACUCGGGAAUAGGACAAUGAACACCAUUUGGCACAAUAAGUAACUUACUGAAGGAUUCAUGUCAACAAGACUUUAAGUUUGGAGAAGAGAACCUCCCCAAGACCCAGAGUGAGGAACAGCAUGAGAAGAAUCAAGAUGCCAGCCCCUCUGAGGGUCAGAAUCAUAAUAAUUGCCAUCCUCACCAACCUCUAACGAUGCCACAACAAUGUAAAGAAGACCAAUCUGGCACCAAGACAGAGGUGUAUUAUGAAAAACAUUUUCUUCCUUGGAAAUGGAACAUCACAGCCUUAAUUCAGAACAACCACAUGGAAUCAACUGUGCCUGUAAAUAGCACGGUGGUCCCAUUUCAGGCUGGGGUGGCGGGUGUGGAUAUACAUCCUCAUCUAGGCUUCAUCUCAAUAGGAUCAUCUCCAGACUGUGUUCAGGCAGCUCUACCUCAUACCGAUGGCUCUUCCUCACAGCAUUCACCUCAACACCAGCUUCUUCAAUGAUGGUAGGGUUUCACAAUAGUGAGGGAACAAAAGCACAACCAUACCUUCAAUCAAGCAAGGUAUCUAGUUAUAUCUCAAACAGAAUGGAGGCACACAGAGCAGCAACAUUAGUAAAUAUAUUUAUAUUACAUAACGUACACAAGAAUCCCCAAGUGUGAAUUCACAGCCACCGAUAAAUGAAAUGAUACCAUGCAGAAAGCACACCAUCAUUUUACGACUGAUCUAUCAUAGAUCUAAAACUGAGAUUAAACUGUGGUGGUGUUUCCCAAAUGAGUCACUCUCAGUCAGAUAUAAUCAUCUGUCAUUUCAUGAGUGCUUCUAACCUGUUCUGUCCUGUUGUUGCAGCAGUCAUAACAUCAGGUAUGAAAAGCUCCAGUAGCCUUGGAAGAAGAGAUUAAGUGAAGGAAGAGGCUGCUUAUGAAAACAUUUCUGCUGCUAUUUUCUGCUGCUUUUAAGAUGUAUGUAUGUAUGUAUGUAUGUAUGUAUGUAUGCAUGUAUGCAUGUGUGUGUGUGUGUGUGUGUAUAAG